GCAGCGGUAGUUCAGUCGGUUAGAAUACCGGCCUGUCACGCCGGGGGGCGCGGGUUCGAGUCCCGUCCGCUGCGCCA
This 77-nucleotide transfer RNA is filed under the name Pseudomonas aeruginosa. Its description in RNAcentral is "tRNA-Asp". It matches the Rfam family "tRNA". From Rfam's summary of the family: Transfer RNA (tRNA) molecules are approximately 80 nucleotides in length. Their secondary structure includes four short double-helical elements and three loops (D, anti-codon, and T loops). RNAcentral also lists the same sequence under 12 other names. The record is from RNAcentral. Lineage: Bacteria; Pseudomonadati; Pseudomonadota; Gammaproteobacteria; Pseudomonadales; Pseudomonadaceae.